AAGUCGUAACAAGGUUUCCGUAGGUGAACCUGCGGAAGGAUCAUUAGAGAUUGGCCUCACGGCCGUUUUCAUCCACACACACACACCGUGAACCGUUCCCCGUGCCUCUCGGGGCUUGGGACCAUCCAACCAAACCAUUGUAUAAAGAACGUAAACAUCGUAAACAAACAAA
Molecule: unclassified non-coding RNA, 172 nt
Filed under: plant metagenome
Description: partial contains small subunit ribosomal RNA and internal transcribed spacer 1
Rfam family: Eukaryotic small subunit ribosomal RNA (bases 1-46)
Source: RNAcentral